UGCUCAGUGAUUAUAGCCAAUUACAUUGGCAAUAUACGCUAUGCUGACCAUAUUUUGAUGAGAAGUUGUAUAUGAGAGCU
Non-coding RNA from Triticum aestivum (bread wheat), 80 nucleotides. The record is from Rfam. Lineage: Eukaryota; Viridiplantae; Streptophyta; Magnoliopsida; Poales; Poaceae.